CACAAAACUGCUGUUGCUCACUGAAGUGACUUGUGGCAGUAGAGGGAAGGAAAAAGGAAGCUGGAGAAGCUGUCUCAUGAAGCUGAAUCUGCUGUCCAAUUUCAUUCUCAUUUUCUCAACUAAGUACAUUUUCAGCAUAAAACCUAUACGUGAUACAGACUAUUUCAGCUGAAGGAUGCUCUUCCUCACCUAGCCUGUGGCCAGUAGGGAGAAGUUCCUCAGGAACCAUCAGUCAAGGAUGUGUGAUCUUCUGCAGAUCAGCGACAGCAGCCCUGCUUGCAGGCAGGUGCUUCUCCCACUGUGCCUUGUCAAAAUAUCAUGGCUGAGGAAUGUGGAAAGCAGCUCAUGCAGCUUUUGGAAAUUUCAUCGCAGUGCUUUGUUGUUUUUUGAGGAGGAAAAAAAAAAAAGAAAAAAAGAGUGACAGUGAAGCUAUGAAGAUACAUCUUAGCAUAACGAGUUUCAAUUUCUAUGCUUAUAGAAAUGUCUAAUAAAUACUGCUAACAAGUGAGGUGCUAAGGUGCCUAAAACUUUCAUGCUAUUCUAUUCUUGGUUAUUAGAAUGUACCACUGAACAAAUACAGCCCUUAUCUCCCAGUGCAGUUCAAAAAAACAUCUCUUAUCGUCAUGGUAGAAACUGAGCAGAGAAGUUCAAAGCCAUGGACUUCUUUUUACUCUCAGCUGCAGCUUCAGGAGCAGCAAGCUCAGUAAAAUGCUCCUCUGCCCAGAAAGUAUGAAAGGGUACUGAAUAUUAAGCAUUGGCUUAAUUGCUAUAUUGUUUCUGAAGACUGAUCUUUUGAAAGGUCAGUGGAAUGUGAACUUCUGAAAUGGCUCAGUGUUUGGAGAGAAGCAUCACAUCAGUGCCUGCGUGUGCCAGAUGUGUGUUUUACUAGCUGCAGAUAAUUGAGUUACUCACCUACAAGAAUGGAAGAACAGUGAAAAAAAAUGAAACUUUCUGAAAGAGAAAUACAAAACAAAAUAAAACUAAUUUUCAAAUACAUCACGUCCUGUCCAUUGGCAUUAUGCAUAAUAUGAUAAAGUAUUUGAGUGUGCACUGAACUUUGAGAGUAUUUAUUUCUUCAACUACAGUUUUCUUUACACUUUUGUCUGGAUGAUUCCAUUUCAUACGAU
This is a long non-coding RNA of Numida meleagris (helmeted guineafowl), 1127 nucleotides long. RefSeq lists it as uncharacterized. The record is from RefSeq and is a predicted model, not a curated record. The transcript has 3 exons. Lineage: Eukaryota; Metazoa; Chordata; Aves; Galliformes; Numididae.